This 1042-nucleotide long non-coding RNA is filed under the name Equus asinus (donkey). Its description in RNAcentral is "lncRNA (ENSEASG00005028223.1)". The record is from RNAcentral. Lineage: Eukaryota; Metazoa; Chordata; Mammalia; Perissodactyla; Equidae.
AGAUGAGCAGACCAGAGACUGAGGUUUUGGGAAGCAUUUAUUGAGUGCCUGCUGUGGGACUUUGGCUGAAAUCAAAGCCACAGUGUGGCUAAGGGUUCACCCAGUCUCGGGGGCCAGACGACCCCCACCCUCCCUGCACAGACGACACCAAAGCAACUGCACUGGAGGCUUUGCUUCCCAAAGCCCAUGGAAUAAGCUCCAGGGAAGAGUGGGUCCUCCUUGCCUGGGAGGGCAUUGGGCCCUGCUUGGUGGGCAGCUCUGGGUCUUUCUCCUGACUCCGGGGGGCUUGGGAUUGGCCUGCAGGAGGUCAGGGUCUGAAGUAGGAGGCUUCAUGCAUCUGCACACCCUCCCCUGGGCCUUCCCACCCCACCACUGCCAGCCUCUGCACUUUUGCCUUGGCUGUGCCUCUGUGGGAAUGCCCUUCCCCUGAGAUCAUCCUCUGGGAUUAGUUCCUGUAUAAAAGGGACCCCAGAGAGCUCCCUUGCCCUUUCUGCCACAGCAAGAAGAUGGUCAUCUUGGAAUCAGGACGCUGGCGCUCACCAGACACCAAAUCAGCCACCAGCUUGGUCUUGGAGCUCCACACUCCAGAACUGUGAGAAAUAAAACUCUGUAGUUUAUGGUAUUUCUGUUAUAGAAGCCCGAACCAACUAAGGCACUGGUAAUGCUGAUUAUAUUAAUGUUGACUAAGCCUUCAUCUAAGUAUAUUGGCGUAUUUGAGGAACUUGAAACAGUGGUGGCCACAGCAGGUGCUUAAUAAAAGGGAUAUAUGUGCAUCUGUCCCAUUUUCCUUUGUCCUUAGAAGGGGCUGUCCCUGAAGGCCACCCGAUCCAAGCAAGCUGUCUGUGCUAAGCUUAUGUCACUAUUCAACCUUCAUUGUGUGCAGACAUUGUGGAGCACAUGCCCUGCACCAAGGCCACACCACUGCAGGCAGGUCUGAGGGAGCCACCAGGGCGCUGUUGGUGACAGCGUUUCACAGAGGGGCCACAGGAGCAGAGCGUCACCCGGCUGAGAGGUCGGCUUGCACGAGUUGCUCCUACAAUUC